CAUUGGAACUGAGACACGGUCCAAACUCCUACGGGAGGCAGCAGUGAGGAAUAUUGGUCAAUGGACGAGAGUCUGAACCAGCCAAGUCGCGUGAGGGAAGACUGCCCUAUGGGUUGUAAACCUCUUUUAUAAGGGAAGAAUAAGUUCUACGUGUAGAAUGAUGCCUGUACCUUAUGAAUAAGCAUCGGCUAACUCCGUGCCAGCAGCCGCGGUAAUACGGAGGAUGCGAGCGUUAUCCGGAUUUAUUGGGUUUAAAGGGUGCGUAGGCGGUUUAUUAAGUUAGUGGUUAAAUAUUUGAGCUAAACUCAAUUGUGCCAUUAAUACUGGUAAACUGGAGUACAGACGAGGUAGGCGGAAUAAGUUAAGUAGCGGUGAAAUGCAUAGAUAUAACUUAGAACUCCGAUAGCGAAGGCAGCUUACCAGACUGUAACUGACGCUGAUGCACGAGAGCGUGGGUAGCGAACAGGAUUAGAUACCCUGGUAGUCCACGCCGUAAACGAUGCUCACUGGUUCUGUGCGAUAUAUUGUACGGGAUUAAGCGAAAGUAUUAAGUGAGCCACCUGGGGAGUACGUCGGCAACGAUGAAACUCAAAGGAAUUGACGGGGGCCCGCACAAGCGGAGGAACAUGUGGUUUAAUUCGAUGAUACGCGAGGAACCUUACCUGGGUUUAAAUGGGAAAUGCCGUAUUUGGAAACAGAUAUUCUCUUCGGAGCGUUUUUCAAGGUGCUGCAUGGUUGUCGUCAGCUCGUGCCGUGAGGUGUCGGGUUAAGUCCCAUAACGAGCGCAACCCUUACCGUUAGUUGCUAGCAUGUAAUGAUGAGCACUCUAACGGGACUGCCACCGUAAGGUGAGAGGAAGGCGGGGAUGACGUCAAAUCAGCACGGCCCUUACACCCAGGGCUACACACGUGUUACAAUGGCCGGUACAGAGGGCCGCUACCAGGUGACUGGAUGCCAAUCUCAAAAGCCGGUCGUAGUUCGGAUUGGAGUCUGUAACCCGACUCCAUGAAGUUGGAUUCGCUAGUAAUCGCGCAUCAGCCAUGGCGCGGUGAAUACGUUCCCGGGCCUUGUACACACCGCCCGUCAAGCCAUGGAAGCCGGGGGUGCCUGAAGUCCGUAACCGCGAGGAUCGGCCUAGGGCAAAACUGGUAACUGGGGCUAAGUCGUAACAAGGUAGCCGUACCGGAAGGUGCGGCUG
Molecule: ribosomal RNA, 1198 nt
Filed under: gut metagenome
Description: bacterial SSU rRNA
Rfam family: Bacterial small subunit ribosomal RNA
Source: RNAcentral